Molecule: long non-coding RNA, 1168 nt
Organism: Solanum pennellii
Lineage: Eukaryota; Viridiplantae; Streptophyta; Magnoliopsida; Solanales; Solanaceae
Exons: 4
Source: RefSeq, a predicted model, not a curated record
UAGCCAGAUGCCCUUUUUUUUUCUGAAUAUUAGAACUCCGCUUUCCCUUGAAUUUUUCCCCCUCCAUUCUCUAAUUUCUGGGAAAAAGAACUCCUGGCCAAUAAGGAAAACAUUACUAACAAAAACCCUCUAUAUGCUUCUUAUGAGGAAAAUAAUCCUAAAAAGAUCUCCUACACACAUUAGGAUUUUUUAUUGUAAAUCGAUUAGAGUUGCAACGUCCAGCAACAUAUAUUCAUUCGUUAGCAGCAGCGACCUUCCAGCAACAUUGAUUGAAUCGAAGAAAUACUUCCAGAAGCUAUAAUUCUAUCGCGGAAACUACGUCCAAGAACAACGAAACUUUCACGUCCGAUAGUCUUUCUCCUCCACUUCUCUAUAUAUAUCAUGUUUUAUUACCCGUGUUGCUCUGUGUUGAGAAUUUAACCCUAUUGUUUCUUUUCUAUUAUGUUCAUUAUAUUUAGGUAUUAACUGGAAGAAAAACAAAAAAUACACUUCAUAACUGUGAUUUUCAAGUUAUUUGAGAUUCCAUAAAGUAUGGGUUUUGUGUUUGUGAUCUUGGGCUGCUACUAUUUUGAAUGCAAUUGAUUAUUGAUUUCUCUGUUGAUAUAUAUUAAGGUGUCUUCCAGAUAUAUUAAGGUGUGUGGUUCCAGCAGUUAUAAUUCAAUCGCAGCAACUACGUCCAAGAACAACGACACUUUCAGGUGAAUCAUAAGAACUACUCCCAGCAGCAUAUAUUGAAUCGAAGAACUACAUCAAGCAACUACAAUUCCAUCGCAGCAACUACGUCCAAGAAAAACGAAACUUUCAGGUAUCUGCCAGUUAUAUUAAGGUGUGUGGUUCCAACAGUUAUAAUUCAAUUGCAGCAACUACGUCCAAAAACAACGAAACUUUCAGGAUUCUUGCCGCCGUAGCAAUCACUGCUAAAUUGGGGUAAAUGCCUUUGUAGCGAGCGAGGCAGAUAGGGAAUUAAGGUUUUUUGGGUUUUUUCAAGACAAGAUCACUGGUUCGCUUUGUGCUGCUGAAAUGACGCAACUACAACGGGAUAGGUAAAGCUUUAGCGGGAUGAUGGGUUAAAAAUUCGCAAAUAAAACCCUUCAACGACCUUAUUAUGUAUUUUACAACAAUUUGAGUUAAUUAAGAGACGACCCCUAGUCUAUUCCGACACUUUUUC